UUCCCCUAGUAACUGCGAGUGAAGCGGGCAAAGCUCAAAUUUAAAAUCUGGUAGUCUAUGGCUGCCCGAGUUGUAAUCUAGAGAAGUGUUAUCCGCGUUGGACCGUGUACAAGUCUCCUGGAAUGGAGCGUCAUAGAGGGUGAGAAUCCCGUCUUUGACACGGACUACCAGUGCUUUGUGAUGCGCUCUCAAAGAGUCGAGUUGUUUGGGAAUGCAGCUCAAAAUGGGUGGUAAAUUCCAUCUAAAGCUAAAUAUUGGCGAGAGACCGAUAGCGAACAAGUACCGUGAGGGAAAGAUGAAAAGAACUUUGGAAAGAGAGUUAAACAGUACGUGAAAUUGCUGAAAGGGAAACGCUUGAAGUCAGUCGCGUUGUCUAGAAAUCAACCUUGCUUUUGCUGGGCGUACUUUCUAGUUAACGGGUCAGCAUCAAUUUUGACCGUUGGAUAAAGUGUAGAGAAAUGUGGCAUCUUCGGGUGUGUUAUAGUCUCUGCUCGCAUACAACGGUUGGGAUUGAGGAACUCAGUACGCCGCAAGGCCGGG
RNAcentral lists this ribosomal RNA (540 nucleotides) under Deconica neorhombispora. RNAcentral's name for it is "eukaryotic LSU rRNA". It matches the Rfam family "Eukaryotic large subunit ribosomal RNA", at positions 75 to 615 of the family's 3401-position model. Lineage: Eukaryota; Fungi; Basidiomycota; Agaricomycetes; Agaricales; Kuehneromycetaceae. The record is from RNAcentral.